Molecule: ribosomal RNA, 465 nt
Filed under: Vreelandella stevensii
Lineage: Bacteria; Pseudomonadati; Pseudomonadota; Gammaproteobacteria; Oceanospirillales; Halomonadaceae
Description: partial 16S ribosomal RNA
Rfam family: Bacterial small subunit ribosomal RNA
Source: RNAcentral
CCUACGGGGGGCUGCAGUGGGGAAUAUUGGACAAUGGGGGGAACCCUGAUCCAGCCAUGCCGCGUGUGUGAAGAAGGCCCUCGGGUUGUAAAGCACUUUCAGUGAGGAAGAACGCCUGGUGGUUAAUACCCAUCAGGAAAGACAUCACUCACAGAAGAAGCACCGGCUAACUCCGUGCCAGCAGCCGCGGUAAUACGGAGGGUGCGAGCGUUAAUCGGAAUUACUGGGCGUAAAGCGCGCGUAGGUGGCUUGAUAAGCCGGUUGUGAAAGCCCCGGGCUCAACCUGGGAACGGCAUCCGGAACUGUCAAGCUAGAGUGCAGGAGAGGAAGGUAGAAUUCCCGGUGUAGCGGUGAAAUGCGUAGAGAUCGGGAGGAAUACCAGUGGCGAAGGCGGCCUUAUGGACUGACACUGACACUGAGGUGCGAAAGCGUGGGUAGCAAACAGGAUUAGAUACCCCGGUAGUC